UUCCCACGCCGGGAAUCGAACCCGGGCCUUUCUGGGUGAAAGACAGAUAUCCUAGCACCUAGACCACGUGGGA
This is a non-coding RNA of Cordylochernes scorpioides, 73 nucleotides long. Lineage: Eukaryota; Metazoa; Arthropoda; Arachnida; Pseudoscorpiones; Chernetidae. The record is from the annotation of a GenBank genome assembly.